CCUACGGGAGGCAGCAGUGAGGAAUAUUGGUCAAUGGCCGCAGGGCUGAACCAGCCAAGUCGCGUGAGGGAUGACGGUCCUAUGGAUUGUAAACCUCUUUUGUCAGGGAGCAAAGGGCGCCACGUGUGGCGCUUUGCGAGUACCUGAAGAAAAAGCAUCGGCUAACUCCGUGCCAGCAGCCGCGGUAAUACGGAGGAUGCGAGCGUUAUCCGGUUUUAUUGGGUUUAAGGGGUGCGCAGGCGGAAUGUCAAGUCAGCGGUAAAAUUUCGGGGCUCAACCCCGUCGUGCCGUUGAAACUGGCGUUCUUGAGUGAGCGAGAAGUAUGCGGAAUGCGUGGUGUAGCGGUGAAAUGCAUAGAUAUCACGAAGAACUCCGAUUGCGAAGGCAGCAUACCGGCGCUCAACUGACGCUCAUGCACGAAAGCGUGGGUAUCGAACAGGAUUAGAUACCCUUGUAGUC
This 459-nucleotide ribosomal RNA is filed under the name uncultured bacterium. RNAcentral describes it as "partial 16S ribosomal RNA". It matches the Rfam family "Bacterial small subunit ribosomal RNA", at positions 338 to 795 of the family's 1533-position model. The record is from RNAcentral.